UUCCGAACGUCCCUUUUUCCAAGCGGUACGCUAAACAACGAUAAUUGACCAAGAUGACGGAAGGUACAGCUACCAUCAGGACGAGAAAGUUUAUGACCAAUCGACUUUUAUGCCGAAAACAAAUGGUCGUAGAUGUUAUUCAUCCUGGCCAACCAUCAGUUCGUAAAACCGAGAUUCGAGAGAAAUUAGCCAAGAUGUAUAAAGUGACUCCAGAUGUUGUCUUUGUGUUUGGCUUUCAAACUAAUUUUGGUGGUGGUAAAUCUACUGGAUUUGCACUUAUCUAUGACACCUUGGAUUUUGCAAAGAAAUUUGAACCUAAAUAUAGGUUAGCAAGGCACGGUCUCUUUGAAAAACAAAAACAAACAAGAAAACAACGUAAAGAACGCAAAAACAGAAUGAAGAAAGUUAGGGGUACUAAAAAGAGUAAAGUUGGAGCAGCGUCUAAAAAGGGAAGGAAAUAGAGAAAUGAUCAUCAUUUGUACUACAGACUUCUGGAGGAGCAAUUUCUUAUUGCUUAAUCAGGUAAAAGAAGCCAUCUUGAAGACCACACAAUCAUCGACGUAAAAGUUAUUAUAUUUUACUAUGGAAUAGCGCCGGAAUUAUAAUAAAUUUUACGGAAUAAACGUGUUCUUCUUGAUGAAAACCUGUUUAUCACAUUUUUCUUGACAUCUUGUAACAAUGCCUUGUUAAAAAAUUUAUUAUAUUGAAUUAAUGCGCUAUUAUUUUUUUUAACUUUUUAAUUUUCAGUAUAUUAAUAUUUUUAUAUCUAAUCAAUAUGUAUUUACAACUUACAUACUUAAAACUUUAUUAAAAACCAUUGAAGAUAUA
RNAcentral lists this unclassified non-coding RNA (828 nucleotides) under Atta cephalotes. Its description in RNAcentral is "40S ribosomal protein S24, transcript variant X2". Lineage: Eukaryota; Metazoa; Arthropoda; Insecta; Hymenoptera; Formicidae. The record is from RNAcentral.